UGGGGAAUCUUGCGCAAUGGGCGAAAGCCUGACGCAGCGACGCCGCGUGAGUGAUGAAGGCCUUCGGGUUGUAAAGCUCUGUGGAGAGGGAAGAAUAAGGGCGGGCUAAUACCCCGUCCGAUGACGGUACCUCUUUAGCAAGCACCGGCUAACUCUGUGCCAGCAGCCGCGGUAAUACAGAGGGUGCAAACGUUGUUCGGAUUUACUGGGCGUAAAGCGCGUGUAGGCGGCUUGGCAAGUCGGGUGUGAAAGCCCUGGGCUCAACCUAGGAAGUGCACUCGAAACUGCCUCGCUGGAGUCUCGGAGAGGAAAGCGGAAUUCUCGGUGUAGAGGUGAAAUUCGUAGAUAUCGAGAGGAACAUCGGUGGCGAAGGCGGCUUUCUGGACGACGACUGACGCUG
Molecule: ribosomal RNA, 400 nt
Filed under: uncultured bacterium
Lineage: Bacteria
Description: bacterial SSU rRNA
Rfam family: Bacterial small subunit ribosomal RNA
Source: RNAcentral